UACGAAAGGUGCGAGCGUUAAUCGGAAUUACUGGGCGUAAAGCGUGCGUAGGUGGCUAUUUAAGUCGGAUGUGAAAGCCCCGGGCUCAACCUGGGAGGUGCAUCCGAUACUGGGUAGCUAGAGUGUAGUAGAGGGAGGUGGAAUUUCAGGUGUAGCGGUGAAAUGCGUAGAGAUCGGAAGGAACACCAGUGGCGAAGGCGGCCUCCUGGACUGCUCCUGACGCUGAGGCGCGAAAGCUAGGGGAGCGAACGGG
This 253-nucleotide ribosomal RNA is filed under the name uncultured bacterium. Its description in RNAcentral is "partial 16S ribosomal RNA". It matches the Rfam family "Bacterial small subunit ribosomal RNA", at positions 524 to 776 of the family's 1533-position model. The record is from RNAcentral.